CGCCCAGUCACAUCUGUAAGUCGGUUAAUUUUGGCGCUCGGUCGAUGGAGGUGGCGGUACUCUGGUUUAGUGCGAAAGGCAGAGGAUCCUAACCCUGUGGACACCACCAUCACUGGCCUAUGAGGAGUGCUGCCAGGCUUCCACUGAUGUUCACUUAAGGCCCAAGGGCUCUUCAAUUAGCUUGAGAUUGCAUUUCUCUGGAAUGACCACAGCAAUAUUUCCAGCCCUUGAUGAUCUUCUAGAACUUUGCCACUUCCCUGCAUCAAGAGGUAUAACCUCAUCCUGGAGCAGGGCACCCUAUCGUCAGAUGGUAUCAUCUUUAAGGGGUUGUCUCAGCCAUGCCUUUAGAAUUACCUUUCAUUGCUUGUCAUGCUGGAAGCUUCUGAAUGUUGCAUUUUGUGAUAGAAACAGUGGGUACCAUGGUCAUGUGCUCACAUCUCCUUUGCGGUAAAGAAAAGGAUCACUCAUUAACAUCCACCAGAUAACAUUCUCCAUGAAAGCACCAAAUAAGGUUUGUCUUGGUCCAUUUUAUGCUGCUAUAACAGAACACCACAGACUGAGAAAUUUAUAAGGAAUAGAAGUUUAUUUGCCUCAUGUUUCUGGAGGCUGGGAAUUCCAAGAUCAAGGGGCUGCAUAGAUUGAGGUCCUUUUUGCUGACUCAUAACGUGGAAAGAGAGUGCACUGCAUAGAAGAAAGGAGGCCAAACUCAUUCUUUUAUCAUGAGCCUACUCCUGAAAUAACUCACUCUCAAGAUAAUGGCAUUAAUCCAUUCAUGAAGGCAGAAUACUCAUGAUGUAAUCACCUCUUAAAAGGUCCUAUUUCCUAACACUGUUGCAUUAGGGAUUAAGCUGUCAACACAUGAAUAUUGGGGGACACAUUCAAACCAUAGCAAGAGUUCUUUGUCUUUGUGACUCGGUGUGGUUCAGCAAAUUGCGAUUGGUCUGCUAUAGCGGACUUUCCCCUCACCUCCCAAAUGUUUAUUAUGAAAAAUUUCAUUUUAAAGAAAGGUGGAAGGAAUUGUUGAAAGAAUAUGUCAUCUAGUUUCUACUGUUGUUAACAUUGUGUCAUAUUUGCCUUUUCAUCCAUCCAACCACCCAUCCAUCUAGCUACCUUAUAAUUACUAUUAUUACUUAUUAUUACUAUUAUUUUUAAAGACACCUCUAUUAAAGCAACCAUCUUAUUUUUUGAUUUUAUUUAUUUUCAAAGUUAGUUGCAGACAUUAGUAUACUUUACUCCUAGACAUUUUAGCGUGAACAUAAUUAACUGGAGUAUAAUACUUGUUUUCAAUUUCUUUUUAUUUUUGAGGUAAAAUUUACAUACAGUGAAAUCCAAAUCUUAAGUGUACCACUAGAUAAAUUUUGAUAAAUGCAUUAUGCCUGGUCUUCACACACCCUUUUCAAUAUAUAGAAAAUUUCCAGAUAAUUUAUUUUGUUGUUUUUUUCACACACUAAGUUCUAGACUUUUCCAGGUCCGAGGGAACUAUUAGGGGGGAAAGUACUUGUUAUAGUAAAAAAGAUUUUAGGUGUGUUUGUUUUUAAGGUGCAGAAACACAUCGCAGAUUAAGGUCUGCAUCUCUGCUUUUUGUUAUUGUUCCAGUUUGAUCUCAGUGACAUUACAAGCAAGCAGAAACACUCAGACAUGAAAUGGCCAGUGCCUGUGAGUUAAGAGCAGGAUCUAGGUCUAUUUUUUUGAUAUGUAUCUCAACUACCUGGAAUACUUUAUACUUUUGGCACUCAAUAAAUAUUUGUUGCUGCCAGA
This is a long non-coding RNA of Homo sapiens (human), 1758 nucleotides long. Lineage: Eukaryota; Metazoa; Chordata; Mammalia; Primates; Hominidae. The record is from Ensembl.